Molecule: non-coding RNA, 81 nt
Organism: Paragonimus heterotremus
Lineage: Eukaryota; Metazoa; Platyhelminthes; Trematoda; Plagiorchiida; Troglotrematidae
Source: the annotation of a GenBank genome assembly
GGUUUCGCAGCUCAGUUGGUAGAGCGCUUGCCGCGUUUCGGCAUGUUGUUUCCGUCGCUGGUCCGAAUCCAGCCGAAGUCC